RNAcentral lists this ribosomal RNA (446 nucleotides) under uncultured bacterium. Its description in RNAcentral is "bacterial SSU rRNA". It matches the Rfam family "Bacterial small subunit ribosomal RNA", at positions 330 to 793 of the family's 1533-position model. The record is from RNAcentral.
CCCAGACUCCUACGGGAGGCAGCAGUGGGGGAUAUUGCACAAUGGGGGAAACCCUGAUGCAGCGACGCCGCGUGGGUGAAGAAGCGCCUCGACGCGUAAAGCCCUGUCAGCAGGGAAGAAAAUGACGGUACCUGAAGAAGAAGCCCCGGUUAACUACGUGCCAGCAGCCGCGGUAAUACGUAGGGGGCAAGCGUUAUCCGGAUUUACUGGGUGUAAAGGGGGCGCAGACGGCGAUGCAAGCCAGGAGUGAAAGCCCGGGGCCCAACCCCGGGACUGCUCUUGGAACUGCGUGGCUGGAGUGCAGGAGGGGCAGGCGGAAUUCCUGGUGUAGCGGUGAAAUGCGUAGAUAUCAGGAGGAACACCGGUGGCGAAGGCGGCCUGCUGGACUGCAACUGACGCUGAGGCGCGAAAGCGUGGGGAGCAAACAGGAUUAGAUACCCUUGUAA